UGGGGGAUAUUGCACAAUGGGCGAAAGCCUGAUGCAGCGACGCCGCGUGGGGGAUGAAGGCUUUCGGGUUGUAAACCUCUUUCGCUAUCGAACAAGGCCCGCUUAGGGUGGGUUGAGGGUAGGUGGAGAAGAAGCGCCGGCUAACUACGUGCCAGCAGCCGCGGUAAUACGUAGGGCGCGAGCGUUGUCCGGAAUUAUUGGGCGUAAAGGGCUUGUAGGCGGCUUGUUGCGCCUGCUGUGAAAACGCGGGGCUUAACUUCGCGCGUGCAGUGGGUACGGGCAGGCUUGAGUGUGGUAGGGGUGACUGGAAUUCCAGGUGUAGCGGUGGAAUGCGCAGAUAUCUGGAGGAACACCGAUGGCGAAGGCAGGGCACUGGGCCAUUACUGACGCUGAGGAGCGAAAGCAUGGGUAGCGAACAGG
RNAcentral lists this ribosomal RNA (420 nucleotides) under bacterium. Its description in RNAcentral is "partial 16S ribosomal RNA". It matches the Rfam family "Bacterial small subunit ribosomal RNA", at positions 355 to 776 of the family's 1533-position model. The record is from RNAcentral.